GACGAACGCUGGCGGCGUGCCUAAUACAUGCAAGUAGAACGCUGAAGGAGGAGCUUGCUUCUCUGGAUGAGUUGCGAACGGGUGAGUAACGCGUAGGUAACCUGCCUGGUAGCGGGGGAUAACUAUUGGAAACGAUAGCUAAUACCGCAUAAUAGUAGAUGUUGCAUGACAUUUGCUUAAAAGGUGCAAUUGCAUCACUACCAGAUGGACCUGCGUUGUAUUAGCUAGUUGGUGGGGUAACGGCUCACCAAGGCGACGAUACAUAGCCGACCUGAGAGGGUGUUCGCGCAAGCUGGGCCUGAGACACGGCCCAGACUCCUACAGGAGGAGGCGGUAGGGAGAGUUCGGCAAUGGACGGAGGUCUGACCGAGCGACGCCGCGUGAGUGAAGAAGGAUUUCGGAUCGUAAAGCUCUGUUGUGAGGGAAGAAAGAGUGUGAGAGUGGAAAGUUCACACUGUGACGGUAUCUUACCAGAAAGGGACGGCUAACUACGUG
Molecule: ribosomal RNA, 495 nt
Filed under: uncultured bacterium
Lineage: Bacteria
Description: partial 16S ribosomal RNA
Rfam family: Bacterial small subunit ribosomal RNA
Source: RNAcentral